This 24-nucleotide non-coding RNA is filed under the name Arabidopsis thaliana (thale cress). The record is from RNAcentral. Lineage: Eukaryota; Viridiplantae; Streptophyta; Magnoliopsida; Brassicales; Brassicaceae.
AGCGUCCCAAGUAGAGUCAUGCCA